UUAGCGGAUGACUUGUGGCUGGGGGUGAAAGGCCAAUCAAACCGGGAGAUAGCUGGUUCUCCCCGAAAGCUAUUUAGGUAGCGCCUCGUGAAUUCAUCUCCGGGGGUAGAGCACUGUUUCGGCAAGGGGGUCAUCCCGACUUACCAACCCGAUGCAAACUGCGAAUACCGGAGAAUGUUAUCACGGGAGACACACGGCGGGUGCUAACGUCCGUCGUGAAGAGGGAAACAACCCAGACCGCCAGCUAAGGUCCCAAAGUCAUGGUUAAGUGGGAAACGAUGUGGGAAGGCCCAGACAGCCAGGAUGUUGGCUUAGAAGCAGCCAUCAUUUAAAGAAAGCGUAAUAGCUCACUGGUCGAGUCGGCCUGCGCGGAAGAUGUAACGGGGCUAAACCAUGCACCGAAGCUGCGGCAGCGACGCUGAUGCGUUGUUGGGUAGGGGAGCGUUCUGUAAGCCUGCGAAGGUGUGCUGUGAGGCAUGCUGGAGGUAUCAGAAGUGCGAAUGCUGACAUAAGUAACGAUAAAGCGGGUGAAAAGCCCGCUCGCCGGAAGACCAAGGGUUCCUGUCCAACGUUAAUCGGGGCAGGGUGAGUCGACCCCUAAGGCGAGGCCGAAAGGCGUAGUCGAUGGGAAACAGGUUAAUAUUCCUGUACUUGGUGUUACUGCGAAGGGGGGACGGAGAAGGCUAUGUUGGCCGGGCGACGGUUGUCCCGGUUUAAGCGUGUAGGCUGGU
Molecule: ribosomal RNA, 731 nt
Filed under: Escherichia coli
Lineage: Bacteria; Pseudomonadati; Pseudomonadota; Gammaproteobacteria; Enterobacterales; Enterobacteriaceae
Description: partial 23S ribosomal RNA
Rfam family: Bacterial large subunit ribosomal RNA
Source: RNAcentral